GAUGAACGCUGGCGGCGUGCCUAAUACAUGCAAGUCGAGCGAACAGAUGAGGCACUUGCUCCUCUGACGUUAGCGGCGGACGGGUGAGUAACACGUGGAUAACCUACCUAUAAGACUGGGAUAACUUCGGGAAACCGGAGCUAAUACCGGAUAAUAUAUUGAACCGCAUGGUUCAAUAGUGAAAGACGGUUUUGCUGUCACUUAUAGAUGGAUCCGCGCCGCAUUAGCUAGUUGGUAAGGUAACGGCUUACCAAGGCAACGAUGCGUAGCCGACCUGAGAGGGUGAUCGGCCACACUGGAACUGAGACACGGUCCAGACUCCUACGGGAGGCAGCAGUAGGGAAUCUUCCGCAAUGGGCGAAAGCCUGACGGAGCAACGCCGCGUGAGUGAUGAAGGUCUUCGGAUCGUAAAACUCUGUUAUUAGGGAAGAACAAAUGUGUAAGUAACUAUGCACGUCUUGACGGUACCUAAUCAGAAAGCCACGGCUAACUACGUG
This 497-nucleotide ribosomal RNA is filed under the name uncultured bacterium. Its description in RNAcentral is "partial 16S ribosomal RNA". It matches the Rfam family "Bacterial small subunit ribosomal RNA", at positions 28 to 507 of the family's 1533-position model. The record is from RNAcentral.